RNAcentral lists this ribosomal RNA (1450 nucleotides) under Dickeya chrysanthemi. Its description in RNAcentral is "bacterial SSU rRNA". It matches the Rfam family "Bacterial small subunit ribosomal RNA". Lineage: Bacteria; Pseudomonadati; Pseudomonadota; Gammaproteobacteria; Enterobacterales; Pectobacteriaceae. The record is from RNAcentral.
GGGGGCGGCUACACAUGCAAGUCGAGCGGCAGCGCAGGAGGAGCUUGCUCUCUCUGGCUGACGAGCGGCGGACGGGUGAGUAAUGUCUGGGAAACUGCCUGAUGGAGGGGGAUAACUACUGGAAACGGUAGCUAAUACCGCAUAACGUCGCAAGACCAAAGAGGGGGACCUUCGGGCCUCUUGCCAUCGGAUGUGCCCAGAUGGGAUUAGCUAGUAGGUGAGGUAAUGGCUCACCUAGGCGACGAUCCCUAGCUGGUCUGAGAGGAUGACCAGCCACACUGGAACUGAGACACGGUCCAGACUCCUUCGGGAGGCAACCAGUGGGGAAUAUUGCACAAUGGGCGCAAGCCUGAUGCAGCCAUGCCGCGUGUGUGAAGAAGGCCUUCGGGUUGUAAAGCACUUUCAGCGGGGAGGAAGGGAGCAGGCUUAAUACGUCUGUUCAUUGACGUUACCCGCAGAAGAAGCACCGGCUAACUCCGUGCCAGCAGCCGCGGUAAUACGGAGGGUGCAAGCGUUAAUCGGAAUGACUGGGCGUAAAGCGCACGCAGGCGGUCUGUUAAGUUGGAUGUGAAAUCCCCGGGCUUAACCUGGGAACUGCAUUCAAAACUGACAGGCUAGAGUCUCGUAGAGGGGGGUAGAAUUCCAGGUGUAGCGGUGAAAUGCGUAGAGAUCUGGAGGAAUACCGGUGGCGAAGGCGGCCCCCUGGACGAAGACUGACGCUCAGGUGCGAAAGCGUGGGGAGCAAACAGGAUUAGAUACCCUGGUAGUCCACGCUGUAAACGAUGUCGAUUUGGAGGUUGUGGUCUUGAACCGUGGCUUCCGGAGCUAACGCGUUAAAUCGACCGCCUGGGGAGUACGGCCGCAAGGUUAAAACUCAAAUGAAUUGACGGGGGCCCGCACAAGCGGUGGAGCAUGUGGUUUAAUUCGAUGCAACGCGAAGAACCUUACCUACUCUUGACAUCCAGAGAAGCCUGCAGAGAUGCGGGUGUGCCUUCGGGAACUCUGAGACAGGUGCUGCAUGGCUGUCGUCAGCUCGUGUUGUGAAAUGUUGGGUUAAGUCCCGCAACCAAGCGCAACCCUUAUCCUUUGUUGCCAGCACUUCGGGUGGGGAACUCAAGGGAAGACUGCCGGUGAUAAACCCGAAGGAAGGUGGGGAUGACGUCAAGUCAUCAUGGGCCCUUACAAGUAGGGCUUACCACCGGGCCACAAAGGCGAAAACAAAGAGAAGCGACCUCGCGAGAGCAAGCGGACCUCAUAAAGUACGUCGUAGUCCGGAUUGGAGUCUGCAACUCGACUCCAUGAAGUCGGAAUCGCUAGUAAUCGUAGAUCAGAAUGCUACGGUGAAUACGUUCCCGGGCCUUGUACACACCGCCCGUCACACCAUGGGAGUGGGUUGCAAAAGAAGUAGGUAGCUUAACCUUCGGGAGGGCGCUACCACUUUUUGUUUCAA